CGUCUAUAUACGUAUAGCAUAUCAAUAAGCGGAGGAAAAGAAACUAACUAGGAUUCCCUCAGUAACGGCGAGUGAAGCGGGAAGAGCUCAAAUUUGAAAUCUUCAAGGUUCUACCUUGACGAAUUGUAGUUUAAAGAAGUGUUUUCUGUUGGAGUUUUGGUAAAAGUUCUUUGGAAUAGGACAUCGAUAGAGGGUGAGAAUCCCGUAUUUGACCAUUAUUUCCAACUUUGUGAUACACUUUCAAAGAGUCGGAUUGUUUGGGAAUGCAGUCCAAAAUGGGUGGUAAAUUUCAUCUAAAGCUAAAUACUGGCGAGAGACCGAUAGCGAACAAGUACCGUGAGGGAAAGAUGAAAAGAACUUUGAAAAGAGAGUUAAACAGUACGUGAAAUUGUCAAAAGGGAAGCGUUUGACACCAGUGUUGUUUUCUCGAAAAUCAAUUAAAAAUGACCGGAUUUUGUGUUGUAUUGACUUUAUCAGCUUUCUGCACUUUUUUCUUGUCUUUUUUAAUGCACUUUUCGUUUAACAAGUCAACAUCAAUUUCUUUUGUUGUAAAAGGGUCAUUGGAAGGUGGCUUUCUUUUCGGAGAAAGUGUUUAUAGCCUUUGACUUCUGCAGUCGGAGAGAUUGAGGUCUGCAGCGUAGAUCCUUCGGGGUUAGAUGCAUUUGUGCUAAGUUAUAGCCUUUCAUAGACAACUUGUUGACUAUGAUCAGUCAUGUAGCUUACUCGCUUAUGCUAUUUUACCUACGCUUAGGAUGUUGACGAUCAGCUGAGCGCG
RNAcentral lists this ribosomal RNA (775 nucleotides) under uncultured Neocallimastigales. RNAcentral describes it as "partial large subunit ribosomal RNA". It matches the Rfam family "Eukaryotic large subunit ribosomal RNA", at positions 26 to 627 of the family's 3401-position model. The record is from RNAcentral. Lineage: Eukaryota; Fungi; Neocallimastigomycota; Neocallimastigomycetes; Neocallimastigales.